CCAAUGUGGAUACCCUGGGAGGUCACGCUCCCAGGGGCCGUCCGGGUGGUGUAGGGGCAGCACAGUGUUCUGCUUAAUGAUGUGUAGUUCUUUCCACUUCAUUAGAGAGAAAGUCAGGCCUUGAGUCUGCUAUUUCUACGGCUUCUCAGAGUCCUGUGGACAGUGUCUGAGGAGACAAACCAUGCAGGAAGCAUCC
Molossus molossus (Pallas's mastiff bat) is the source of this 196-nucleotide small nucleolar RNA. RefSeq annotates it as small nucleolar RNA SNORA73 family. The transcript has a single exon. NCBI's taxonomy places the organism in Eukaryota, Metazoa, Chordata, Mammalia, Chiroptera, Molossidae. The record is from RefSeq and is a predicted model, not a curated record.